AGUGGCGGACGGGUGAGUAACGCGUGAGAAUCUGCCUUGGGGUCGGGGACAACCACUGGAAACGGUGGCUAAUACCGGAUAAGCCGAUUGGUGAAAGAUUUAUUGCCCGAAGAGGAGCUCGCGUCUGAUUAGCUAGUUGGUGAGGUAAGAGCUCACCAAGGCAGCGAUCAGUAGCUGGUCUGAGAGGACGAUCAGCCACACUGGGACUGAGACACGGCCCAGACUCCUACGGGAGGCAGCAGUGGGGAAUUUUCCGCAAUGGGCGAAAGCCUGACGGAGCAAGACCGCGUGAGGGAGGAAGGCUCUUGGGUUGUAAACCUCUUUUCUCAGGGAAGAAGCUCUGACGGUACCUGAGGAAUCAGCCUCGGCUAACUCCGUGCCAGCAGCCGCGGUAAUACGGAGGAGGCAAGCGUUAUCCGGAAUUAUUGGGCGUAAAGCGUCCGCANGUGGCGAUUCAAGUCUGCUGUCAAAGCACGGGGCUUAACUCCGUAAAGGCAGUGGAAACUGAAUAGCUAGAGUGCCGUAGGGGUAGAGGGAAUUCCCGGUGUAGCGGUGAAAUGCGUAGAGAUCGGGAAGAACAUCGGUGGCGAAAGCGCUCUACUGGACGGCAACUGACACUCAGGGACGAAAGCUAGGGGAGCGAAUGGGAUUAGAUACCCC
RNAcentral lists this ribosomal RNA (660 nucleotides) under uncultured bacterium. RNAcentral's name for it is "bacterial SSU rRNA". It matches the Rfam family "Bacterial small subunit ribosomal RNA", at positions 94 to 788 of the family's 1533-position model. The record is from RNAcentral.